AUAGAAUAAGCAAUAUAAUUUUUAGCAAAAUGCCAAGUUGUAUACAUAUAAUCAGGGUUGACAUUCUUACACAAGUGCAGUACAAAAUACAAUUGACCUACGAAACCGUACAGUCAAAGCCCAGAUACGCUGGGCUUGGGCCCAGGGUAUAUAAUCGGAAACGUUGGACUAGAUUUGGUGAGGUGCGCCAGGCCUGGGCUAUAGUGCAAAGCCUAGGCGACGCUCGAAGGACCAGAUAGCAAGCUACCCUAAUGGACCUUCCCCUUAAAAAAUUAAGUUAAUAUCGUGUGGGCUGAUAGCCCACAUAUCAGAUAUUAAACUGAUAAGAACAAAUACUACACUUGAUCUUAGCCAAAAG
Molecule: long non-coding RNA, 358 nt
Filed under: Nicotiana tabacum (common tobacco)
Lineage: Eukaryota; Viridiplantae; Streptophyta; Magnoliopsida; Solanales; Solanaceae
Description: long non-coding RNA (NTAB_LNC018016)
Source: RNAcentral